GCGAUGGCAUGAGACCCCCCACUCUGGGCAGGCACGAGAGGAAAAGAGAGAGUGGUUGGGUAUGUCGUGGUUGGCGGGUUGGAAUUGGUAGUCUGCGGUGUUGUGGUGGCGACGUUGCUAAAGAUAUUUCAGCCGGUGAUGGUGGCUAUUGGAGAGAGGCGACGACAUACGCGAGGCGAGGCCCUAACCCAUCUCUCGCGCCAGAAAUUCUAGAGAAGGCGAGGAUGCCACGAUUGGCGGUGGUGCGGCGACGCCGACGAUGCCAGGUGAAGACCAGGUGACGGCGCAGUGGCCGACCGGUUGGUGGUAAGGAGGCAGUGCGGCUGUCGGAAGUGGAGUCUCUAGGCCGGAGGGAGAGACGUUAGGUCUCUUGGGUCUCUGGAAUGGAUAGGAACUCAAAAUGAGGUGCAGAUUGGGAGAACCCCUUAGGGUUUCUGGAAGUUUGGGUUACUUGGGCCAACACUGGCCAUUGGAAACAAUUUUCCUCUGACACCCCCAUUUCUCAUCUUCGUACCCCUUUCUGCCUAGGCCAACACUGGGCCAAGUCAAAAACAUGAAACUUUCCUUUCUGCACCCCAAUUUCGUUUUCACACACCUGACCACUUGAGUUUAGGCCCAAUAAGUUUUAAAAAAAAAAGUGAUUUAGACACCCCAUCUUUUAUUUAAACACCACUACACUUUUUAUUUUAUUUCAUCAUUAAACUUUUCAUAUUAUCUUUAUUUUUACUCUUUAUUUCUAUUUAGUAAUU
This 749-nucleotide long non-coding RNA is filed under the name Vigna radiata. Its description in RNAcentral is "long non-coding RNA (VRAD_LNC009684)". The record is from RNAcentral. Lineage: Eukaryota; Viridiplantae; Streptophyta; Magnoliopsida; Fabales; Fabaceae.